This 482-nucleotide ribosomal RNA is filed under the name uncultured bacterium. RNAcentral describes it as "partial 16S ribosomal RNA". It matches the Rfam family "Bacterial small subunit ribosomal RNA", at positions 30 to 507 of the family's 1533-position model. The record is from RNAcentral.
AUUGAACGCUGGCGGCAUGCCUUACACAUGCAAGUCGAACGGUAACGGGCCUUCGGGUGCCGACGAGUGGCGAACGGGUGAGUAAUACAUCGGAACGUGCCCGAUCGUGGGGGAUAACGAGGCGAAAGCUUUGCUAAUACCGCAUACGAUCUACGGAUGAAAGCAGGGGACCGCAAGGCCUUGCGCGGACGGAGCGGUCGAUGGCAGAUUAGGUAGUUGGUGGGAUAAAAGCUUACCAAGCCGACGAUCUGUAGCUGGUCUGAGAGGAUGAUCAGCCACACUGGGACUGAGACACGGCCCAGACUCCUACGGGAGGCAGCAGUGGGGAAUUUUGGGCAAUGGGCGCAAGCCUGAUCCAGCCAUGCCGCGUGCAGGAUGAAGGCCUUCGGGUUGUAAACUGCUUUUGUACGGAACGAAAAGCCUUCUUUUAAUACAGGAGGGUCAUGACGGUACCGUAAGAAUAAGCACCGGCUAACUACGUG